UGGGGAUGACGUCAAGUCCUCAUGGCCUUUAUGCCCAGGGCUACACACGUGCUACAAUGGGUGGUACAAAGAGAUGCCAACUCGCGAGAGCGCGCCAAUCUCAGAAAGCCAUCCUCAGUUCGGAUUGGAGUCUGCAACUCGACUCCAUGAAGUUGGAAUCGCUAGUAAUCGCGGAUCAGCACGCCCGCGGUCGAAUACGUUCCGGGCCUU
RNAcentral lists this ribosomal RNA (210 nucleotides) under uncultured Smithella sp. RNAcentral's name for it is "partial 16S ribosomal RNA". It matches the Rfam family "Bacterial small subunit ribosomal RNA", at positions 1174 to 1382 of the family's 1533-position model. Lineage: Bacteria; Pseudomonadati; Thermodesulfobacteriota; Syntrophia; Syntrophales; Smithellaceae. The record is from RNAcentral.